This 486-nucleotide ribosomal RNA is filed under the name uncultured bacterium. Its description in RNAcentral is "partial 16S ribosomal RNA". It matches the Rfam family "Bacterial small subunit ribosomal RNA", at positions 30 to 507 of the family's 1533-position model. The record is from RNAcentral.
AUUGAACGCUGGCGGCAUGCCUUAUACAUGCAAGUCGAACGGCAGCACGGGUGCUUGCACCCGGUGGCGAGUGGCGCACGGGUGAGUAUUACAUGGGGACAUGUCCUCUAGUGGGGGAGAGCCCGGCGAAAGCCGGAUUAAUACUGCAUACUAACAACUGAUAACAUCGGGGUACCUUCUGGACGCGCGCUAUACGGUUGGCCGAUAGCUGAUUAGCUAGUUGGUGGGGUAAAGGCCUACCAAGGCGACGACCAGUAGCUGGUCUGAGAGGACGACCAGCCACACUGGAACUGAGACACGGCCCAGACUCCUACGGGAGGCAGCAGUGGGGAAUUUUGGACAAUGGGCGAAAGCCUGAUCCAGCAAUGCCGCGUGUGUGAAGAAGGCCUUCGGGUUGUAAAGCACUUUUGUCCGGAAAGAAAUCCUUGGCUCUAAUACAGUCGGGGGAUGACGGUACCGGAAGAGUAAGCACCGGCUAACUACGUG